RNAcentral lists this long non-coding RNA (763 nucleotides) under Heterocephalus glaber (naked mole-rat). RNAcentral's name for it is "lncRNA (ENSHGLG00000044350.1)". The record is from RNAcentral. Lineage: Eukaryota; Metazoa; Chordata; Mammalia; Rodentia; Bathyergidae.
GAGGCCAGCUGCGGACUGGCAGCCAAGAGUGUCAGACGUCUGAGCUGAGAAUAGAGUCCUGAGGGUACUCGUGGCAUCUUGGGUUCUCUUGGAAAGUAGCAGCCACCAAGAUAUUAAAGAGAAUAGAAGGCAGCCAAGUGGCAUUAUCCUUGGGUUCAGAGCCAAGUACCAGCUCUUCCUGCUAAAAUGUUCUCAAUUUGGCCUUCACCAGAAGUGAGGACAGCAGUAUAAAUGUGUGAAUUCUUGUUGCAAACUGGCUAGACCCACAUUUUAUAAAUGUCAUUUCUUGGGAUCUUGUUUAUAUGAGAAACUGCAUUUCACCAGCAGCACUGAGACUGGCUGAUGAUAUCUUAGCAGGAGGACGCUCUCCUGAGGCCCUUUCCCUAUUCUCCUAUGCUGCACAUACUUCUCUCACAGAAGCCUUUUAAGGACCAGGUUAAACUCUCAUGCCACUCUUUGUGGUACCACUGCUCCCAGCUCUGAGGAAGGGGCUUCCAGGCUGCUGUACCACUGCUCCCAGCUCAGAGGAAUGGGCUUCUGGGCCACUGUACCACCACUCCCAGUACAGAGGAGAAAAAGAAGAAAGAGGAGGAAGACAAGAAGAGAGAGGGAAAAAGAGAGGGAGAACAAGAAGAAAGAGACUCACCAGAUGCUGAUGCCUUGAUCAUGGACUUCCAAACCUCUAGAACUGAGAAAUAAAUCUUCGUUCAUUAUAAAUUACCCAGUGUGUGGUAUUCUGCUAAUAUGCUAUGGUUUUUGUGUG